This 404-nucleotide ribosomal RNA is filed under the name uncultured bacterium. RNAcentral describes it as "bacterial SSU rRNA". It matches the Rfam family "Bacterial small subunit ribosomal RNA", at positions 28 to 428 of the family's 1533-position model. The record is from RNAcentral.
GACGAACGCUGACGGUGUGCUUUAGACAUGCAAGUCGAACGAGAAAGCCCUUCGGGUUAGUAAAGUAGGCGAACGGGUGAGUAACACGUGGGCAAUCUGCCCCUCGCAGGGGGACGAACCGGAGGAACCCCGGCUAAUACCCCGUAAGUUCAAAGGGAGGCAUCUCCCCUUGAAGAAAGGUAGCUUCGGCCAUCCGGCGAGGGAUGAGCCCGCGGUGCAUUAGCUAGUUGGUGGGGUAACGGCCCACCAAGGCGACGAUGCAUAGCUGGUCUGGGAGGAUGAUCAGCCACACUGGGACUGAGACACGGCCCAGACUCCUACGGGAGGCAGCAGUCGGGAAUCUUGCGCAAUGGGCGAAAGCCUGACGCAGCGACGCCGCGUGAGGGAUGACGGCCUGGUUGUAA